RNAcentral lists this ribosomal RNA (448 nucleotides) under uncultured Leptolinea sp. RNAcentral describes it as "bacterial SSU rRNA". It matches the Rfam family "Bacterial small subunit ribosomal RNA", at positions 920 to 1382 of the family's 1533-position model. The record is from RNAcentral. Lineage: Bacteria; Bacillati; Chloroflexota; Anaerolineae; Anaerolineales; Anaerolineaceae.
CCCGCACAAGCGGUGAGCAUGUGGUUUAAUUCGACGCAACGCGAAGAACCUUACCAGGGCUUGACAUCCCUGACCGCGUAUGAAAGUACGUUUUCACCCUCGGGUGACAGGGAGACAGGUGGUGCAUGGUUGUCGUCAGCUCGUGUCGUGAGAUGUUGGGUUAAGUCCGCUAACGAGCGCAACCCUCGCUGUGUGUUACAAGUGUCACACGGUACUGCCGGUCUUAAGCCGGAGGAAGGUGGGGAUGACGUCAAGUCAGCAUGGCCUUUAUGUCCUGGGCUACACACACGCUACAAUGGCCAACACAAUAGGUUGCUAAGCCGCGAGGUGGAGCCAAUCCUCAAAGUUGGUCUCAGUUCAGAUUGCAGGCUGCAACCCGCCUGCAUGAAGAUGGAGUUGCUAGUAACCGCAGGUCAGCUAUACUGCGGUGAAUACGUUCCCGGGGCUU